GCGACAGUGACAGCCACUGUCCUGCUGCCCAUAGAGCUUUGCUGUUGUGGACAGAGAGCUGGUGAGAGUAGGGGCAGGAUGCCAUCCAGCAGUGCUCAAUGCCCUGAGACCACCAAACAGCUGCACAGCAUUUAGCCCAGGCUUGACAUCAGUUCCUGCUCACAGCUGCCAGGGGCUUGGCAAAACUCUGCUGUCACCCAUCUUCUCCCUUCCACCCGCCUGUCACUGGAGGGGUCAUAAACUGGCAUCCUUCCUUCUCCAUGAAAUGAGCAGAUGCCAGUUUUUUACUGGGUGAAGGAGGCUUCCACACCUGUUUGGGUCCAUCUCCUUCUGGUCCUUCCCAUAGGACAGAAUCCCCCAGCCCCCUGUUGCCUGUGGCAGUAGUAGGAAUCAGAAUCUCCUCUGCCACAUCCCACUCCUGCUCUCGCCUUUCUCAUUUUUCAGCACAGCUUUGCUUGAAACAGUGGCACAGCCUGCAAGCCAGGAAUGGUGGUGGAGCAAGGCCUCCUUCCCAAUUCAUCACUAAUGCAGGAACGUCAAGCCCUUUCUGGCUGCAGUGAGCACCAGAUAAAAGCUAAAAGAGGCAUCAAUAAUUAAGAACCACUCAGAGCUGGACAGACUCCAGCCAGGAUGAGGCCCCUCUUUGUGCCAGAUACUGGUAUACAUGGCCUGGGAAAUUCAUGUUGUCUGAGGGUUCCAUGAACUUGUCCCUGCUGAAUUCAAGGCUCCUCAUUCAAGCUGUGCUGCUCCAGGGCCCAUGUCAAUCAGUAAUGGAGGGCGAGCAAGACAUGUGUGACAUCCAUCACUCCAGAGCUGCCUGUUCCAGGUUUACCUGUGUCACUCUCCGAGACGGAAGAGCAGAGAAACUGCCUAGGGAAAACUGGCAAUUUUUGGUGAGGAGUUUUGAAAAAUGUGCAAAGCGUCUUCUCAGUCUCUCCUUCCCUUGAAACACAAUCUGAAGUGUUUCCAGCUUUUGAAAAACACUUUCCUUAAAUAAAACCCCCACAACUCUCCCA
RNAcentral lists this long non-coding RNA (1016 nucleotides) under Lepidothrix coronata (blue-crowned manakin). RNAcentral describes it as "lncRNA (ENSLCOG00000012959.1)". The record is from RNAcentral. Lineage: Eukaryota; Metazoa; Chordata; Aves; Passeriformes; Pipridae.